GUGGAUGUCGCCAAGCGGUUAAGGCACCGGACUGUGACUCCGGCAUUCGCGGGUUCAAAUCCCGUCAUUCGCC
Molecule: transfer RNA, 73 nt
Filed under: Aureoumbra lagunensis
Lineage: Eukaryota; Pelagophyceae; Sarcinochrysidales; Sarcinochrysidaceae
Description: tRNA-His
Rfam family: tRNA
About the family: Transfer RNA (tRNA) molecules are approximately 80 nucleotides in length.
Source: RNAcentral